UACGGAGGAUGCGAGCGUUAUCCGGAUUUAUUGGGUUUAAAGGGUGCGUAGGCGGCGAGUUAAGUCAGCGGUAAAAGCCCGGGGCUCAACCCCGGCCCGCCGUUGAAACUGGCUGGCUUGAGUUGGGGAAAGGCAGGCGGAAUGCGCGGUGUAGCGAUGAAAUGCAUAGAUAUCGCGCAGAACCCCGAUUGCGAAGGCAGCCUGCCGGCCCCACACUGACGCUGAGGCACGAAAGCGUGGGUAUCGAACAGG
RNAcentral lists this ribosomal RNA (252 nucleotides) under uncultured bacterium. RNAcentral describes it as "partial 16S ribosomal RNA". It matches the Rfam family "Bacterial small subunit ribosomal RNA", at positions 524 to 776 of the family's 1533-position model. The record is from RNAcentral.